RNAcentral lists this ribosomal RNA (301 nucleotides) under uncultured bacterium. RNAcentral describes it as "partial 16S ribosomal RNA". It matches the Rfam family "Bacterial small subunit ribosomal RNA", at positions 509 to 807 of the family's 1533-position model. The record is from RNAcentral.
CAGCAGCCACGGGAAUACGUAGGGUGCGAGCGUUAAUCGGAAUUACUGGGCGUAAAGCGUGCGCAGGCGGUGCUGCAAGACCGAUGUGAAAGCCCCGGGCUUAACCUGGGAACUGCAUUGGUGACUGCAGCGCUGGAGUAUGGCAGAGGGGGGUGGAAUUCCACGUGUAGCAGUGAAAUGCGUAGAGAUGUGGAGGAACACCGAUGGCGAAGGCAGCCCCCUGGGCCAAUACUGACGCUCAUGCACGAAAGCGUGGGGAGCAAACAGGAUUAGAUACCCCAGUAGUCCCUGUCUCUUAUAC